UGGGGAAUUUUGGACAAUGGGCGCAAGCCUGAUCCAGCCAUGCCGCGUGCAGGAUGAAGGCCCUCGGGUUGUAAACUGCUUUUGUACGGAACGAAAAGCCUCUUUCUAAUAAAGAGGGGUGAUGACGGUACCGUAAGAAUAAGCACCGGCUAACUACGUGCCAGCAGCCGCGGUAAUACGUAGGGUGCGAGCGUUAAUCGGAAUUACUGGGCGUAAAGCGUGCGCAGGCGGUCUUGCAAGACAGUGGUGAAAUCCCCGGGCUCAACCUGGGAACCGCCAUUGUGAAUGCAAGGCUGGAGUACGGCAGAGGGGGAUGGAAUUCCGCGUGUAGCAGUGAAAUGCGUAGAUAUGCGGAGGAACACCGAUGGCGAAGGCAGUCCCCUGGGCCUGUACUGACGCUCAUGCACGAA
RNAcentral lists this ribosomal RNA (410 nucleotides) under uncultured bacterium. RNAcentral's name for it is "bacterial SSU rRNA". It matches the Rfam family "Bacterial small subunit ribosomal RNA", at positions 355 to 757 of the family's 1533-position model. The record is from RNAcentral.